Cercocebus atys (sooty mangabey) is the source of this 1910-nucleotide long non-coding RNA. RefSeq lists it as uncharacterized. The record is from RefSeq and is a predicted model, not a curated record. Lineage: Eukaryota; Metazoa; Chordata; Mammalia; Primates; Cercopithecidae. The transcript has 4 exons.
AGCUGACACAAGUGGUGGGAGGUGCUCAUGCCACCUUCGUGGUGAUCAGAAACAGCCCCGUUGCAGGUGCCACCACUUCACUUAACACUGGGUGCAGGCGACUCCAUCCGCUCUGAAAAUCACAUCUUUGGUGGACAUCAGAGUGGGCCUGGGUUGUCUUUUCACUUUCUUGCUAAUGUCCUUGGAUGAUCCACAACUUUUCCAGAGCAGGCCAAGCUAUAAAUAAAGGAUGGACUGACCUCAUCAACUGUUAAAUUGGAGCCAUGAUGCGUUGCCUGGAACAUCGCGGAUGACUCCGAGCAGCACAGCAGACCAACGGCUGAGAAAGAGCUCAUUUGGUUCAUCUAACUAGGAUGCCGUCCUGCCAGAGCCCUGGGGGUUCUCAUCUCCUGGGGCAAGAGCAGCAUGCAACCCUCAUGAACCCAUCUUGGAGGGCAGUCGGGGAGCGCAAGACAAGACCAUUGGGAGCCUCAGGGUCGCUCUGGGUGGUCUCUGUGCUGGAGAGCUGUACCUCUCAUGAAAAAGACAGCUGACCAUAAGAAGGAGGUUAGCCUUUGUGGCUUGGGCAGCUGGCUUUUCAGAGAUGUGAAACCACACAUCUUCAGAGUGAACAGCUGCUUGCCCUGAUGUGCUCAAGGGGUGCAGGAUGUGGACACAUCCUAGUGAAUGAGUCAGACAAUGUAACCAGAUCUGUCCACAACAACCUGAUGGGUGACAUUGCCAUCUGCAGCAGUGCUGUACUUCCUCCCACCGAUUUGUAAAGUGCAGUCAGGACGCUAGAUCAACUCGCUGCUGCUGAGGCCAAUGACCUCUAGGGCAUAUUUCCAUGUUCUGUGCAGUAGCUGCUCGCCUUUGUAAGCAUGUGAGUUAUUCAUGCUGUCUGUUGUGAUCCUAAGGAAUCCAGCAGUCAGAACUAGAACUUCUGAAUUACAGCCCAGCAUUGCUGUUUGGCAUCACCAGAAAGCAGAUUUUGAGAUUAGCAUGGGGGCUGUUUAGCGGGGCAUUCUCUCUGGAGCAAUGUCUAGCCGGGGUGGGACUGGGGAGAGGGAGAAGUGGGCUGCUGAGGAUAUCACAGAGAGAUGGCAGCCUUUCUGCAGCAAAGGCCUGAGUGCACACUCACCUGGCUAUCACUGAGAGGACCCUCUGUUCAACAGGGCCACUUGGGGGUUCCCCUGCAUGGAGAUCUGAGUGUCCAGGGAGGGGACGUGGUGAGCAUUUCUCUGUUCAAAGGGUGCAAAGGAAAAUCUGCCCCAUUUCUGCCAAAGUGGUUGAUAUGGAGGAAAGGGGAGUGCCAGUUCUAUAGGCUGAGGUGGUGGCUGUUAGAACUGCUCCUGGGCUAGUUGGUGCUCUGGAAGUUUCCCCUCUAUGUGAGAUAAAAGAGCAUAUCUUUAAGAGCUGCAACUUUGAAGCUCUAAUAUAGAAUGCUUUUAGUGGCAAGCAAUACUUUGGAAGCAGCUUGAAGACCCCUGAAGAUCCUUGGUGACCUAGGCAGUUCCUUUAUUGCCAGGGCUGUGCAGGACUAAGCUUCAACAGCGCCACCAUGGGGCAGCAGAAGUAAUUGCAGUGGUGCAUUGAGGGUUUUCUUUUGCACUGAGGACUCAAGCCCCACCUUCACCUUUGGACCUGGUAAAUCUUUGGGGUUCAUGGACAAUUCUGAGAAGGAGAUACUUAAGAGAGUGAUGUUAGAAUUUGAUGUUUUGGUUUAUUGUACCAGAAAAUAAAAGAGGUUGGAUUUAUAACUCAGUUUGUGGUUCAUAUCAAUUUAAAUAGCUUUGAAAUGCUGAUAGGACCAUCAUGGUUUUUUGGUUGCUGAAAUCCCAUAACCAAAGCAAUGCCUCAAUAAGCUUUUAAUCCACAGCUCCCACACCCAGGUCUAUAACAAAGUUUUUACAUGCCUAUGGGGAAAAAGA